GCGUCGCGCGUGGCUUCCUCUCCAAUCCCGUCGCUCCCUCUCCCCUUCCAAUCCCGCAGAUGCAGCCGCCGCCUCCCCAGCUCCCUCUCCCUGCUGCCGAGCUCGCCUUCGGCCGCCGCUCGCCCCGCAACCGCGUGUCGUCGGACGGCGGAGAUGGGCCGAGGCGGGCGGGAGAGCGCCGGCGGCGAGGAGGCGCACGGGGGCAGGCGGGCGCACGGGGACGGCGGCCGGGAGAUGGAGGGCGGCGACCGGCGGCGGGGAGCAGCGCCGGAGGGGCGGCGGCCGGAGGUGGAGGGCGGCGGCCGGAGGAGCGGCGGCUGCUGGGUGCAGAUUCAUGGCGACCUCACAGCGACGGAUUUGCAAGAGAUUUUUUUCCCUCUCGUUGGUUCCUUUGGCUGGAUCUCCCGUCCUUUUAUUUUGCCUCGAAUUUGGGUUCGGUUACGAUCAACAUUUGUUUGACCGGUGGGGAUUUUGUUCCAAUCCGCUCGCUUUUCUUUGGGGUCUGCAAGAGAUUUUUUUUUUGUUCUUGGGUCGUUUCUUUCUCUGGAUGCUCCCGUGUUCUUUUUGACUGUAAUUUGGCCCCUUGCUGCUUCUCCUCUUGUCCUUUACCUUUUGGAUUUUUUUUAGUUCGAGUCUUUUCCGAUUUGGAUUAUUCUUUCGGGUUGCUGGUGUUCUUUCUGUCGCUGCCCUUUUGAUCGAUUUUCCCGUUUCUGGGCUGAUAAGUGACGUGAAUUCUCCUUGUUUCAUGUUUCUUACUCACAGGUCAUUGCCUUCCUAGAGAUUGCUGUGUCGAGUGGACGCGGCUGAUUGAAGGUUCUCGUCUUGGUCUGCUAUCUAAGUCUGCUCGUGCACUGUUGCUGCCGUCGUCGACCUCGAGAAGGGCACUCCAACCUCCAGUGGAUCAUCUUCAUUUCCACAAUGGGUUCCGAAACAAUCACUUGGCGCAUGAUAUAUGGAAUGAACGAUAGUUUUGGGUGUCUUUACUUGUGAGUACCAGGCAUUAGUAGGCGUAAAUCCAACCAAAGAAUCAUCAGAAUUGAUUAUCUAAUUCCCCAACAGUUAUUAGAGACAAUUAGGAGGUUAGUAGUUGGUCUGCUUAAAAUUGUUUCUGCAGUAUGUUUCACUCUCAAUGGGAGCUUCUGCAGUAAAAUGAUUUUAAAUGAAAAUAUAGGUACUUAAACAUAUAUCUAUAUUGUAUAUUUGAUGCAAACAUUUUUCACCAUCCAAGUUUACAAUGCUGAGCUGGUGAAAACAGUAGAGCGAUGAUACACACCAGGGAUAUAGAUGAGGUUCACCUGAAGUAUUUUGAGAUUGAGCAAACUUAUGAAUUUAUAGGGCCAGGAUUUCUCUGUUCUGCUUUGAUUGCUAUGGCAGGAUUUUUACAAACAUAAGCUCAGAUUAAUUGUUUCAUUGCUGUUGUAAUACUUGCUCCAAUCCAUAAUAAGAGUUGGAAGUUUAGUUCAAAGUUGAGGACAUUUUAACUAAAAUCACAACACUUGUUAUGGAUCAGAUGGGGUACCUUUUUCUCUGGAAUGACCUAAAUAAGCUAUAGCACAUUGCUCUCAUAUCUAUUCAUGAGGUUUGGUUAUUUAGUUGAGAAGGACUAAGUUCAUAUGUAACAGAAAAAUAUUAUAUAGUUUUGCAGAAUCUAAGUACUGUACAUUAUUUUAAAAAUAACGCUGUUGUCUGAAUAGUAUAUGACUUAAGAAUCAGAAAGAGCUAGAGUGUGUACCUAUGAUUCCUCAGAUUGUGCUUGGCUGGCCAUUGCAGGUUCGACCAAAGCAUCCUCCCGCUGUUCGACACCGAUGUCUUCCCAGCAUCCUCCCGCUAACCGAUAUGUUCCCAGGAGCAUCCGCACAGGACAUAACAGGGCAGCAUAGGACAGCUCUAGCUGGUGCUGCAUAUGCAAAGCCAAAUCUAAUGGUUACCACUAUAUAUAUAUCGCAGAGCCAAUCACAAAACAGAGCCAAGACUUUAGGAGCGACACUGCAUUAUAUGAGCAUGCUUAAUUCUGUAAAUAGACAAGGAAUAGGUAGACCAUGCAAAUGUACAAGGGAAUUACAGGAAAGAUAAACAAGGUUGAUUGCAUGUGAACCA
Non-coding RNA from Lolium perenne, 2097 nucleotides. NCBI's taxonomy places the organism in Eukaryota, Viridiplantae, Streptophyta, Magnoliopsida, Poales, Poaceae. The record is from RefSeq and is a predicted model, not a curated record.